CACAGUCUCAAGGCUCUACUCCUAUAUUAGAAGCAUCCUCGUCAAAUAGAAACCACUGCUCCAAAAAAAUUACAUAGCCGCGUCAAUUUAAUCUACUUCUGGGACUAGCUUUAGUGCUGCUACAUAUAUACAAAAGGGCUUCAGAUUGCAGAAUGAUGCUGCAAUGUUAAUUUUUAAAUAUUCUGCAGUGCCACUAAUUUUAGGGUUGCUGCACCAGUGCCCCUAAGCUUUGGGGCCCAUUGGGUGUACAUCACAUAUAGGGAGAUCAAAUGGGCGUUCAGGCUGCUUCCUCCCAGUUUAUAGAGUCCUGGUCGGGAGAGAUUGGAGGAGGCCUGGACUAGAACCCCCCCAGCAGCCAGAUCUAGACCCAAGAAAAGCAUUCAAAAGUAUAGAAGCAUGGGGGUGGCUAAAAUGUGUGUGUGGGGCAGUUUGUAUAUACCCAUACAUUCAGACGUCAACACUAUAUACACAUACACCCCUGCAUGCAAACGCCAAC
Pelobates cultripes (western spadefoot toad) is the source of this 496-nucleotide non-coding RNA. Lineage: Eukaryota; Metazoa; Chordata; Amphibia; Anura; Pelobatidae. The record is from the annotation of a GenBank genome assembly.